This 98-nucleotide small nucleolar RNA is filed under the name Gorilla gorilla gorilla (western lowland gorilla). RNAcentral describes it as "Small nucleolar RNA Me28S-Am2634 (ENSGGOG00000035148.2)". Lineage: Eukaryota; Metazoa; Chordata; Mammalia; Primates; Hominidae. The record is from RNAcentral.
AGCAUUGUUUGUUGAUAUGUUUGCAGUGGAAUCUGAAAGAAGCUGCAGACAUUCCUUGCCUAAUUGAAUACAUUUAUACUCUCAGUAUCUACUAUGAA